ACAGCAGUCGCCGCGGUAAUACGUAGGUCCCGAGCGUUGUCCGGAUUUAUUGGGCGUAAAGCGAGCGCAGGCGGUUAGAUAAGUCUGAAGUUAAAGGCUGUGGCUUAACCAUAGUACGCUUUGGAAACUGUUUAACUUGAGUGCAAGAGGGGAGAGUGGAAUUCCAUGUGUAGCGGUGAAAUGCGUAGAUAUAUGGAGGAACACCGGUGGCGAAAGCGGCUCUCUGGCUUGUAACUGACGCUGAGGCUCGAAAGCGUGGGGAGCAAACAGGAUUAGAUACCCCAGUAGUCCCUGUCUCUAAUACA
Molecule: ribosomal RNA, 305 nt
Filed under: uncultured bacterium
Lineage: Bacteria
Description: partial 16S ribosomal RNA
Rfam family: Bacterial small subunit ribosomal RNA
Source: RNAcentral